This 463-nucleotide ribosomal RNA is filed under the name uncultured bacterium. Its description in RNAcentral is "bacterial SSU rRNA". It matches the Rfam family "Bacterial small subunit ribosomal RNA", at positions 55 to 507 of the family's 1533-position model. The record is from RNAcentral.
AUGCAAGUCGAGGGGCAAGCACGAAGUAAGCUUGCUUACUUUGGUGGCGACCGGCGCACGGGUGCGUAACAGGUGUGCAAUCUGUCCAUAAUCGGGGAAUAGCCCAGCGAAAGUUGGAUUAAUGCUCCAUGUGAGUAGAGGAGGCAUCUCUUUUAUUUGAAAACGUAAGGAUUAUGGGGUGAGCACGCUUCUGAUUAGGUAGUUGGUGAGGUAACGGCUCACCAAGCCGACGAUCAGUAGGGGUUCUGAGAGGAAGGUCCCCCACAUUGGAACUGAGACACGGUCCAAACUCCUACGGGAGGCAGCAGUGAGGAAUAUUGGUCAAUGGACGGAAGUCUGAACCAGCCAAGUCGCGUGAAGGAUGAAGGUUCUAUGGAUUGUAAACUUCUUUUGUCUGAGGGUAAAAAAGCGGACGUGUCCGUUCUUGCAAGUAUCAGACGAAUAAGCAUCGGCUAACUCCGUG